ACCAAUAUGAUGAUAACCUUUAUCCCGAAUUUGAAGCCAAAUGAGACUAAUUUUUUAUACUGAUCGA
Small nucleolar RNA from Drosophila melanogaster (fruit fly), 67 nucleotides. Lineage: Eukaryota; Metazoa; Arthropoda; Insecta; Diptera; Drosophilidae. The record is from Ensembl.